AUUGAACGCUGGCGGCAUGCCUUACACAUGCAAGUCGAACGGCAGCACGGGAGCAAUCCUGGUGGCGAGUGGCGAACGGGUGAGUAAAGUAUCGGAACGUGCCCAGUCGUGGGGGAUAACGUAGCGAAAGUUACGCUAAUACCGCAUACGAUCUAUGGAUGAAAGCGGGGGAUCGCAAGACCUCGCGCGAUUGGAGCGGCCGAUAUCAGAUUAGGGAGUUGGUGGGGUAAAGGCUCACCAAGCCGACGAUCUGUAGCUGGUCUGAGAGGACGACCAGCCACACUGGGACGUAGACACGGCCCAGACGCCUACGGGAGGCAGCAGUGGGGAAUUUUGGACAAUGGGCGAAAGCCUGAUCCAGCCAUGCCGCGUGCAGGAUGAAGGCCUUCGGGUUGUAAACUGCUUUUGUACGGAACGAAAAGGUUUGGCCUAAUAAGCUGAGCUCAUGACGGUACCGUAAGAAUAAGCACCGGCUAACUACGUGCCAGCCGCCGCAGUAA
This 500-nucleotide ribosomal RNA is filed under the name uncultured bacterium. RNAcentral's name for it is "partial 16S ribosomal RNA". It matches the Rfam family "Bacterial small subunit ribosomal RNA", at positions 30 to 523 of the family's 1533-position model. The record is from RNAcentral.